RNAcentral lists this ribosomal RNA (1490 nucleotides) under uncultured bacterium. RNAcentral describes it as "16S ribosomal RNA". It matches the Rfam family "Bacterial small subunit ribosomal RNA". The record is from RNAcentral.
AGAGUUUGAUCCUGGCUCAGGACGAACGUUGGCGGCGUGCUUAACACAUGCAAGUCGAACGGUUUGGUGGUGGGUGGUUAGUGGUUAGUCUUUUGGGGUUUUUGAGUAACGCGUGGAUAAUCUGCCUGUAAGACAGGGAUAACGCCGGGAAACCGGUGCUAAUACCGGAUAACCUCUUUGAAUCGCAUGAUUUAAAGAGAAAAGGUGGCCUCUUUACAAUGCUACCACUUACAGAUGAAUCCGCGUCCCAUUAGCCAGUUGGUGGGGUAAUGGCCUACCAAAGCGACGAUGGGUAGCCGGCCUGAGAGGGUGACCGGCCACACUGGAACUGAGAUACGGUCCAGACUCCUACGGGAGGCAGCAGUGGGGAAUCUUCCGCAAUGGGCGAAAGCCUGACGGAGCAACGCCGCGUGAGCGAAGAAGGUCUUCGGAUUGUAAAGCUCUGUGAUAUUGGACGAUAAUUGACGGUACCUUACCAGAAAGCCACGGCUAACUACGUGCCAGCAGCCGCGGUAAUACGUAGGUGGCAAACGUUGUCCGGAAUUACUGGGCGUAAAGGGUGCGUAGGCGGUUUAUUAAGUCUAUGGUGAAAGUGCGGGGCUCAACCAUAGUUGGCAUCCAAAACUGGUAGACUAGAGUACAGGAGAGGGAAGCGGAAUUCCUAGUGUAGCGGUGAAAUGCGUAGAUAUUAGGAGGAACACCAGUGGCGAAGGCGGCUUUCUGGACUGACACUGACGCUGAGGCACGAAAGCGUGGGGAGCAAACAGGAUUAGAUACCCUGGUAGUCCACGCUGUAAACGAUGAAUACUAGGUGUAGGGGGUAUCGACCCCCUAGGGCAGUUAACGCAUGAAGUGAUCCACCUGGGGAGUACGCACGCAAGUAUGAAACUCAAAGGAAUUGACGGGGACCCGCACAAGCGGUGGAGCAUGUGGUUUAAUUCGAAGCAACGCGAAGAACCUUACCAGGUCUUGACAUCCCUCUGACCGGUCCGUAACGGGACCUUUCCUUCGGGACAGAGGAGACAGGUGGUGCAUGGUUGUCGUCAGCUCGUGUCGUGAGAUGUUGGGUUAAGUCCCGCAACGAGCGCAACCCUUAUCUUUAGUAGCCAGCACGUAACGGUGGGAACUCUAGAGAGACUGCCGAGGAUAACUCGGAGGAAGGUGGGGAUGACGUCAAAUCAUCAUGCCCCUUAUGAUCUGGGCUACACACGUGCUACAAUGGCCGGUACAAAGGGCAGCGAAGGAGUGAUCUGGAGCCAAUCCCAAAAAGCCGGUCCCAGUUCGGAUUGUAGUCUGCAACUCGACUACAUGAAGUUGGAAUCGCUAGUAAUCGCGAAUCAGAAUGUCGCGGUGAAUACGUUCCCGGGUCUUGUACACACCGCCCGUCACACCAUGGGAGUUGGAAGCGCCCGAAGCCAGUGACUCAACCGCAAGGAGAGAGCUGUCGAAGGUGAAGCCAAUGACUGGGGUGAAGUCGUAACAAGGUAACC